CCCUUAGAUGUUCGGGGCCGCACGCGCGCUACACUGAAGGACUCAGCGUAUCUCUCCCCCUAUCCCGAAAGGGAUGGGCAACCCGUUGAACCUCCUUCGUGCUAGGGAUUGGGGUUUGCAAUUAUCCCCCAUGAACGAGGAAUUCCCAGUAAGCGCGAGUCAUCAGCUCGCGUUGAUUACGUCCCUGCCCUUUGUACACACCGCCCGUCGCACCUACCGAUUGAAUGGUCCGGUGAAUUCGUUGGACUGGCAAUAGCCGGAAAAUCGAGUGAACCUUACUAUUUAGAGGAAGGUGAAGUCGUAACA
RNAcentral lists this ribosomal RNA (306 nucleotides) under uncultured eukaryote. Its description in RNAcentral is "partial 18S ribosomal RNA". It matches the Rfam family "Eukaryotic small subunit ribosomal RNA", at positions 1470 to 1796 of the family's 1831-position model. The record is from RNAcentral.